CGCGAGCUUCGUUGUACCCCUCGCCCAGAGCCUCCGACCCGCGCUUUGCUCUCCGCCCCGCCUGAGGAUCGCGGUCACAAAUCGCAGGCAGCGGGUGUCGUAGGGGAAUCUGCAAAUGCUUAAGCCUCCCUCUGCUUCGGCACUGGAAGGAAACGCUGCAUUUCCCAGUCGCGCGGGUUAAACUGCAGGCGCUGGCAAACAAUUGCUAGGAGGCCCUUCCAGCGUGCAUUGCAUGGAUAACUCUGUCUCUUCACAGGGCUGGGAAAGAAAUCCAAAGUCGUGACUCAGGAGGCGCCUCGGGAAGGAAGAAACCGUGGACGUCCUCGGCGUGGCCGUGCCUGUUCCUCUGUCUCCUAUUCGGCUCGAGAGCUGCUCGUUGUGGUCAGCUUUCCGCUCUCCUGCCGGCCCUGGAUCUCGUUCCAAAUUCAAUCUGCUCGAAGGCAAGGCGUUGGCGAGAGGGGAGCGCGGCUGAACUCCAGAACAUCCACGCCGUGACAGAUGUCAUCCGGAGGGGGAGUGGCGUCUGCAACGAGAACACAGUAUUAUUACUCCCCGCGUCAGUCUUCCAUUAGAUUAUUUAUUGCUUCGAUCCCACCAGAAG
This 601-nucleotide long non-coding RNA is filed under the name Crocodylus porosus (Australian saltwater crocodile). RNAcentral's name for it is "lncRNA (ENSCPRG00005012527.1)". The record is from RNAcentral. Lineage: Eukaryota; Metazoa; Chordata; Crocodylia; Crocodylidae.